This 721-nucleotide ribosomal RNA is filed under the name uncultured Alphaproteobacteria bacterium. RNAcentral describes it as "bacterial SSU rRNA". It matches the Rfam family "Bacterial small subunit ribosomal RNA", at positions 617 to 1335 of the family's 1533-position model. The record is from RNAcentral. Lineage: Bacteria; Pseudomonadati; Pseudomonadota; Alphaproteobacteria.
GGAAUUGCUCCCGAUACUGGCAAACUAGAAUCCCAAAGAGGAAAGCGGAAUUCCUAGUGUAGAGGUGAAAUUCGUAGAUAUUAGGAGGAACACCAGAGGCGAAGGCGGCUUUCUGGGUGGGUAUUGACGCUGAGGCGCGAAAGCGUGGGGAGCAAACAGGAUUAGAUAACCCUGGUAGUGCACGCCCUGGACGAUGGAGUGUGAGAGGCUGGGUCCUUGAGGCUCAGUGUCGUAGUUAACGCGUUAAACACUCCGCCUGGGUAGUACGGCCGCAAGGCUAAAACUCAAAGGAAUUGACGGGGACCCGCACAAGCGGUGGAGCAUGUGGUUUAAUUCGAUGCAACGCGAAGAACCUUACCAGCCCUUGACAUCCCGAUCGCGGACACCAGAGAUGGAGUCUUUCAGCUAGGCUGGAUCGGUGACAGGUGCUGCAUGGCUGUCGUCAGCUCGUGUCGUGAGAUGUUGGGUUAAGUCCCGCAACGAGCGCAACCCUCAUCUUUAGUUGCCAGCGAUUCGGUCGGGCACUCUAAAGAAACAGCCGGUGACAAGCCGGAGGAAGGCGGGGAUGACGUCAAGUCAUCAUGGCCCUUACGGGCUGGGCUACACACGUGCUACAAUGGCGACUACAAUGGGCAGCUACUCUGCGAGGAGAUGCUAAUCCCUAAAAGUCGUCUCAGUUCGGAUUGCACUCUGCAACUCGAGUGCAUGAAGUUGGAAUCGC